RNAcentral lists this ribosomal RNA (440 nucleotides) under uncultured bacterium. Its description in RNAcentral is "partial 16S ribosomal RNA". It matches the Rfam family "Bacterial small subunit ribosomal RNA", at positions 338 to 795 of the family's 1533-position model. The record is from RNAcentral.
CCUACGGGUGGCAGCAGUGGGGAAUAUUGCUCAAUGGAGGAAACUCUGAUGCAGCGAAGUAGCGUGAGUGAUGACGUCUCUAGGUAUGUAAAGCUUCAUUUGUAGGGGAGUUAAUGACGGUACCUGAGCCAGUAGCCAUGGCUAACUUCGUGACAGCAGCCGCGGUAAUACGUAGGGGGCAAGCGUUAUCCGGAUUUACUGGGUGUAAAGGGAGCGUAGACGGUAGCACAAGUCUGGAGUGAAAUCGCGGGGCUUAACCCCAAAACUGCUUUGGAAACUGUGCGUCUGGAGUGCAGGCGGGGUAAGCGGAAUUCGUGGUGUAGCGGUGAAAUGCUUAGAUAUCACGAAGAACCCCGAUUGCGAAGGCAGCCUGCCAAAGCGUUACUGACACUGAAGCUCGAAAGCGCGGGUAUCGAACAGGAUUAGAUACCCGAGUAGUC